RNAcentral lists this ribosomal RNA (951 nucleotides) under Vibrio sp. RNAcentral's name for it is "bacterial SSU rRNA". It matches the Rfam family "Bacterial small subunit ribosomal RNA", at positions 62 to 1004 of the family's 1533-position model. The record is from RNAcentral. Lineage: Bacteria; Pseudomonadati; Pseudomonadota; Gammaproteobacteria; Vibrionales; Vibrionaceae.
UCGAGCGGAAACGAGAAUAGCUUGCUAUUCGGCGUCGAGCGGCGGACGGGUGAGUAAUGCAUAGGAAGUUGCCCAGUAGAGGGGGAUAACCAUUGGAAACGAUGGCUAAUACCGCAUAACCUCUUCGGAGCAAAGCGGGGGACCUUCGGGCCUCGCGCUACUGGAUACGCCUAUGUGGGAUUAGCUAGUUGGUGAGGUAAUGGCUCACCAAGGCGACGAUCCCUAGCUGGUCUGAGAGGAUGAUCAGCCACACUGGGACUGAGACACGGCCCAGACUCCUACGGGAGGCAGCAGUGGGGAAUAUUGCACAAUGGGCGAAAGCCUGAUGCAGCCAUGCCGCGUGUAUGAAGAAGGCCUUCGGGUUGUAAAGUACUUUCAGUUGUGAGGAAGGGUGUGUAGUUAAUAACUGCGCAUUUUGACGUUAGCAACAGAAGAAGCACCGGCUAACUCCGUGCCAGCAGCCGCGGUAAUACGGAGGGUGCGAGCGUUAAUCGGAAUUACUGGGCGUAAAGCGCAUGCAGGUGGUUUGUUAAGUCAGAUGUGAAAGCCCGGGGCUCAACCUCGGAAGGUCAUUUGAAACUGGCAAACUAGAGUACUGUAGAGGGGGGUAGAAUUUCAGGUGUAGCGGUGAAAUGCGUAGAGAUCUGAAGGAAUACCAGUGGCGAAGGCGGCCCCCUGGACAGAUACUGACACUCAGAUGCGAAAGCGUGGGGAGCAAACAGGAUUAGAUACCCUGGUAGUCCACGCCGUAAACGAUGUCUACUUGGAGGUUGUGGCCUUGAGCCGUGGCUUUCGGAGCUAACGCGUUAAGUAGACCGCCUGGGGAGUACGGUCGCAAGAUUAAAACUCAAAUGAAUUGACGGGGGCCCGCACAAGCGGUGGAGCAUGUGGUUUAAUUCGAUGCAACGCGCAGAACCUUACCUACUCUUGACAUCCAGAGAACUUUUCCAG